Dermacentor albipictus is the source of this 184-nucleotide small nuclear RNA. RefSeq annotates it as U2 spliceosomal RNA. The record is from RefSeq and is a predicted model, not a curated record. NCBI's taxonomy places the organism in Eukaryota, Metazoa, Arthropoda, Arachnida, Ixodida, Ixodidae.
UUACAUGACCGACGUGGGCGAAAGUGUAGUAGCUGCGCUUAUCAGGUUAAUAUCUGACACGGGUUGUAUUUGGACUCAAGAUAUGAAACUUAUUCUUGCAAGUUGCCCGAGCGCUUGAAGCCUGCUUCACCUUCGCCGUGGAUCCGCCCGGUAUUGUACUAUCUUUGGGAUCGGCUUAAGUUUU